CUACGGGGGGCAGCAGUGGGGAAUAUUGCACAAUGGGGGAAACCCUGAUGCAGCCAUGCCGCGUGUAUGAAGAAGGCCUUCGGGUUGUAAAGUACUUUCAGCAGUGAGGAAGGGUGAUAAAUUAAUACUUUAUCAUUUUGACGUUAGCUGCAGAAGAAGCACCGGCUAACUCCGUGCCAGCAGCCGCGGUAAUACGGAGGGUGCGAGCGGUAAUCGGAAUUACUGGGCGUAAAGCGCAUGCAGGUGGUCUGUUAAGUCAGAUGUGAAAGCCCGGGGCUUAACCUCGGAAUCGCAUUUGAAACUGGCAGGCUAGAGUACUGUAGAGGGGGGUAGAAUUUCAGGUGUAGCGGUGACAUGCGUAGAGAUCUGAAGGAAUACCGGUGGCGAAGGCGGCCCCCUGGACAGAUACUGACACUCAGAUGCGAAAGCGUGGGGAGCAAACAGGAUUAGAUACCCUGGUAGUC
RNAcentral lists this ribosomal RNA (464 nucleotides) under uncultured bacterium. Its description in RNAcentral is "partial 16S ribosomal RNA". It matches the Rfam family "Bacterial small subunit ribosomal RNA", at positions 339 to 795 of the family's 1533-position model. The record is from RNAcentral.